Non-coding RNA from Parasteatoda tepidariorum (common house spider), 532 nucleotides. The record is from RefSeq and is a predicted model, not a curated record. NCBI's taxonomy places the organism in Eukaryota, Metazoa, Arthropoda, Arachnida, Araneae, Theridiidae.
CAUACCGCGUAUUUUGGUGUCCCGAUCUCCAAGUGAAUCAAGGGGAAGUGGAAAAACUGAAAGACAUGAUCGUGCCACUUAAAGAUUCAUGGGACAGACUGAAGGGAACCUCAUACUACAGUGCUUAUGUGUUGCGCCUAGGAGCUACUCUUGAAGACUUGAUGAGCAGUGUCACUCAGAAAAGGCCAUCGAUCCCUCCUAGACCUUUUCAAGCAACCAACAAAAAUGGCUCUUCAUCCUCAACUGAAGAAGAAAAGGAAAAAAAAGAAAAAUAAAGGGAACAAAACCCAUGAAAAUAAAGAUUUUUCCAAACAGAGGAUGAACACAUUGCUGGCUAAAGCAACGAAAGAAUUGUUUUUGCAGCCAGAAAACUCUGAUUCUGAUUUUAACUUUAGCUUUAUUCACAUUUCUGUUUGGUGCUAAAUUUCAUUCAAAAUUUAUGUCAUCAGCAUUGGUAACAAUGGCUGCAUUCUCCCCGACAUUUUCUAAAUUUUUUGCAACCAUUGAAAUUUUACAACACGGGUACGGAUUA